RNAcentral lists this ribosomal RNA (485 nucleotides) under Clostridioides difficile. Its description in RNAcentral is "bacterial LSU rRNA". It matches the Rfam family "Bacterial large subunit ribosomal RNA", at positions 778 to 1271 of the family's 2925-position model. The record is from RNAcentral. Lineage: Bacteria; Bacillati; Bacillota; Clostridia; Peptostreptococcales; Peptostreptococcaceae.
AACCAGGAGGGUUGAAAAGCUAGGGGAUGACUUGUGGGAAGCGGUGAAAUUCCAAUCGAGCAGGGAGAUAGCUGGUUCUCACAGAAAUAGCUUUAGGGCUAGCCGCAAGGUGAGAGAUACGGAGGUAGAGCACUGAAUGUCCUAGGGGGUAUUGAACCUACCGAAGACUAUCAAACUCCGAAUGCCGUCAUCUUAUAAUUGGGAGUCAGACUGUGGGUGAUAAGAUUCAUAGUCGAAAGGGCAACAGACCAGAUCGUCAGCUAAGGUCCCUAAAUGUAAGUUAAGUGGUAAAGGAUGUUGGAUUGCACCGACAACAAGGAUGUUGGCUUAGAAGCAGCCACUCAUUCAACGAGUGAGUAAUAGCUCACCGGUCGAGUGACACUGCGCCGAAGAUUGCCGGGGCUAAAACUUACUACCGAAGCUACGGCAUCAGUAACGCUGGGUAGGAGAGCUUCCAAAGAGGGUUGAAGAUGAGCGCGAGGGAC